UUUUUUUUUUUUAAAUUUUUCCCCGCAGACGAACGCUGGCGGCGUGCCUAAUACAUGCAAGUCGUACGCUUCUUUUUUCCACCGGAGCUUGCUCCACCGGAAAAAGAAGAGUGGCGAACGGGUGAGUAACACGUGGGUAACCUGCCCAUCAGAAGGGGAUAACACUUGGAAACAGGUGCUAAUACCGUAUAACAAUCGAAACCGCAUGGUUUUGAUUUGAAAGGCGCUUUCGGGUGUCGCUGAUGGAUGGACCCGCGGUGCAUUAGCUAGUUGGUGAGGUAACGGCUCACCAAGGCCACGAUGCAUAGCCGACCUGAGAGGGUGAUCGGCCACAUUGGGACUGAGACACGGCCCAAACUCCUACGGGAGGCAGCAGUAGGGAAUCUUCGGCAAUGGACGAAAGUCUGACCGAGCAACGCCGCGUGAGUGAAGAAGGUUUUCGGAUCGUAAAACUCUGUUGUUAGAGAAGAACAAGGAUGAGAGUAACUGUUCAUCCCUUGACGGUAUCUAACCAGAAAGCCACGGCUAACUACGUGCCAGCAGCCGCGGUAAUACGUAGGUGGCAAGCGUUGUCCGGAUUUAUUGGGCGUAAAGCGAGCGCAGGCGGUUUCUUAAGUCUGAUGUGAAAGCCCCCGGCUCAACCGGGGAGGGUCAUUGGAAACUGGGAGACUUGAGUGCAGAAGAGGAGAGUGGAAUUCCAUGUGUAGCGGUGAAAUGCGUAGAUAUAUGGAGGAACACCAGUGGCGAAGGCGGCUCUCUGGUCUGUAACUGACGCUGAGGCUCGAAAGCGUGGGGAGCAAACAGGAUUAGAUACCCUGGUAGUCCACGCCGUAAACGAUGAGUGCUAAGUGUUGGAGGGUUUCCGCCCUUCAGUGCUGCAGCUAACGCAUAAGCACUCC
RNAcentral lists this ribosomal RNA (899 nucleotides) under Enterococcus faecium. RNAcentral describes it as "bacterial SSU rRNA". It matches the Rfam family "Bacterial small subunit ribosomal RNA", at positions 1 to 870 of the family's 1533-position model. The record is from RNAcentral. Lineage: Bacteria; Bacillati; Bacillota; Bacilli; Lactobacillales; Enterococcaceae.